Molecule: ribosomal RNA, 301 nt
Filed under: uncultured bacterium
Lineage: Bacteria
Description: partial 16S ribosomal RNA
Rfam family: Bacterial small subunit ribosomal RNA
Source: RNAcentral
CAGUCGCCGCGGGAAUACGAAGGGGGCUAGCGUUGCUCGGAAUGACUGGGCGUAAAGGGCGCGUAGGCGGCGGACCAAGUUAGAUGUGAAAUUCCUGGGCUCAACCUGGGGACUGCAUUUGAUACUGGUUUGCUAGAGUUCGGAAGAGGGUAGUGGAAUUUCCAGUGUAGAGGUGAAAUUCGUAGAUAUUGGAAAGAACACCGGUGGCGAAGGCGGCUACCUGGUCCGACACUGACGCUGAGGCGCGAAAGCGUGGGGAGCAAACAGGAUUAGAUACCCCAGUAGUCCCUGUCUCUUAUAC